RNAcentral lists this ribosomal RNA (377 nucleotides) under uncultured Planctomycetota bacterium. Its description in RNAcentral is "bacterial SSU rRNA". It matches the Rfam family "Bacterial small subunit ribosomal RNA", at positions 521 to 896 of the family's 1533-position model. Lineage: Bacteria; Pseudomonadati; Planctomycetota. The record is from RNAcentral.
UAAUACGGAGAGUGCGAGCGUUGUUCGGAAUUACUGGGCUUAAAGAGCAUGUAGGCGGGACGUCAUGUGUCGGGUGAAAACCCCAGGCUCAACCUGGGAACUGCCCGGCAAACUGGCAUUCUUGAGGCAGGUAGAGGUGACCGGAACAACUGGUGGAGCGGUGAAAUGCGUAGAUAUCAGUUGGAACGCCGGCGGCGAAAGCGGGUCACUGGACCUGCCCUGACGCUGAGAUGCGAAAGCGUGGGGAGCGAACGGGAUUAGAUACCCCGGUAGUCCACGCCGUAAACGAUGCGCACUAGGUAUGGGAGGUUUUGACGCCGACCGUGCCGAAGCAAAAGUGGUAAGUGCGCCGCCUGGGGAGUACGGCCGCAAGGCUA